AACGAACGCUGGCGGCAUGCCUAACACAUGCAAGUCGAACGAGACCUUCGGGUCUAGUGGCGCACGGGUGCGUAACGCGUGGGAACCUGCCCUUAGGUUCGGCAUAACUCCCCGAAAGGGGUGCUAAUACCGGAUAAUGUCUUCGGACCAAAGAUUUAUCGCCUUUGGAUGGGCCCGCGUUGGAUUAGCUAGUUGGUAGGGUAAAAGCCUACCAAGGCGACGAUCCAUAGCUGGUCUGAGAGGAUGAUCAGCCACACUGGGACUGAGACACGGCCCAGACUCCUACGGGAGGCGGCAGUGGGGAAUAUUGGACAAUGGGCGAAAGGAUGAUCCAGCAAUGCCGCGUGAGUGAUGAAGGCAGUAGGGUUGUAAAGCUCUUUUAACCGGGAUGAUAAUGACAGUACCGGGAGAAUAAGCCCCGGCUAACUCCGUG
RNAcentral lists this ribosomal RNA (433 nucleotides) under uncultured bacterium. RNAcentral describes it as "partial 16S ribosomal RNA". It matches the Rfam family "Bacterial small subunit ribosomal RNA", at positions 29 to 507 of the family's 1533-position model. The record is from RNAcentral.